UACCUAAAAAUCGAGAGAGGCGCUGCAUUUUUUCAGCUGAAACUGUCAAAACUUGGAGAAGGGGAACCUCGGAGGCAGGCAGGAGAGGAGGAGAAUCCCGAAACUCUGUGGAGGUUAGGAAGAUGCUGUGCCUCGAGGAUUAGUUUAAACAGGGGGCUAUAAAAGAUGUAACAGAUGCAAACUGUAACACAAGGGCCAUUAACCCUUUCUCUGCCGAGCACACUCAGUCCCCACGCCCCGCACCUAUUGUCUCCUGUGUUAGAAGCUUUGCGGAAAACCUGGAAAUUUUGGCCAGAAAUGGUGAGAAGAAAAAGCAUGAAGAAGCCGCGAAGUGUGGGGGAGAAAAAGGUGGAAGCGAAGAAACAGCUCCCGGAGCAAACUGUACAAAACCUCGCCAAGAGUGUCGGGAGGCAGGACCGUUAUUCCUGCGGAGCAGGAGAGAGAGAGACCCUGAAACACGCGCCACCUAUCUUUGUGGGGAGGGAUAAUUGAAGCGCCCUGAGCGUGAGCAUCAUGUGAAAACGUGAUCGCCAAGUUUCUCUCUGGGAAAGGAUCUGGGAUAGAUUAUACCUUGAAGUCUCCGCAAACGCUUUAGUGGAAGAAAUGAAAUUCCACCUCCCUCCCUUCCUCUCUCCCUCCCUCUCGCCUCCCUCCCUCCCUCCCUUCUCCACGCCCCCCCCCGUCAAGCCUUUGGCAUCAUUAUCCUCAUCACUAAAUCCUACAGAGUACAGGGCGGAAAACGGUGCACACCAUUCACAGAACUGGAGAACUCUGAGGGGCGAAAGUUAAAGGGAAAGAUCCCGGUUCCUCAAUACAGAUCGCCUCUUCUUAUACAGAUAGCUCUAAUGACCAGAUUUGAAAUGCACAUUAAGUUGUGCGGAUUUCUCAGCACCGCUUCUGGAACUAAAAUUUUUGCCCUUUCUCUUAUUAUUAUUGUUAUUUUUCUUUUUAGAUGCCAGAGCCUGAAAAAAAAAUGCUUCAUGUGAACUGUAUUUAGGGUGUGUGUGUUGGGGGUGUGUGUGUGUGUGUGUCUGUGUAUGUGUGUGUGUGAUGAAUUUCUGGAUUGGAUCCCAAUACUGAAAAGCGAUUUGGCAUUUUUAAAAAGGGUCUCUAAGUAAAUUAACAUAGAGCACUGAGUUGACCGAUCUCUGAAUCUCUCUACAUCUCACGGAGACCUCACUACAAAGUGAGGGAGUAUGUGUAGGGAGGCAGGAGGAAAAGGAGAAAGGCCAUAGAGGAACUUAGCAGGGAAGGAAGAACAUGAUAUUAAACGGCAUGGGGUCUAAGUUUUGGAGUUUAUAUUUUUUGAUAUUGCAAUUAAAGUAAAAUUAAAAAGAAAAGACUCCACCUUUGCUCUGAAGGGAUUGGUUAUGUAAAUAUGGAAGGGAUUUCCUGGAGAAUACAGCUUUCUACUGUAUGGUUAAUUAAAUAAUCACUCAAAAGCUUCCAACGUGACGCUUCUGUCGUAAUCCAAUCAGGUUACAUAGGUCCUAAACAAGAAAGAUAUUUUCCACAUCUGGAAGUCAGCAAUUUAGCAAGUACUGCACAUUAUUAACCAAUUCAGAGCCCACUUCCCAGGGGAAUUUUUUUUGAAGUUUAAGUGUUCUUAACCAAUGCUCUGCUGUUUUGUUAAUCAAAAAGCUGGUUUACACUGCACAUAAUUGGAACUAAUAUAGAAGUAAAUAAAGACAGCCAAAUUUGAGGAUGCUGAGCACAGGCAUUUAUCGGAAAAGGAAGAAAUCUCUUAGCCUCCAAUGGUUCAGGCUCAAUUUCUUAAACAACUGUGAGGCUUUUUUUUUUUUUUUCUAAGAGUGAAAGUGCUUGAGAACCUCAGAGCACAAAUAAACUUCCAGUCCCACAGCCUUUGGGCUUCCUUGCAAAGGUAAAGGUGGAGGUGUCAAGAGGACUGAAGAACAGCCUUAUGCCAAUUUUUCAGCUUUAAUAUUGUUAAUAUGUUACAGCACCCUGUUUUCAGUCUGAUGAAAUCUGAAAUAAAUAACACCCUGAUCCAACACUAGACUUUAACUUAUAUUAAGAUAAACUGCUUUGAACUGUGCUUUGAAUGUGUGCCUAAAGCAAGACUUUGAAUGCAAGAGUCACUGGCAAUUGCACUUAGAGGAGGGAAAAGCCACCACAUGGGUUGCCACAUCCACACUCCCAGAGGUGCAUGGCUUUGUAUUUUGUAUGUUUAUUUUGGAGGGGGCGGGCAGUAGCCACCCAGCAUGACCACAGCCAAUUCUUACUUCAGAAUGCAAGAAAGUAAAUUUUCAGUUGGUUACAGACUCCCCUCUUUCCUACCUUGAGUAUUUUUUACAAUGAAAGUAGUUGGGUAAAUUAAUCUUGUCCCCCAUCCCAUUGCAGAUUAAUUACCUAUAGAGGAGCAUUGAAGACCAUCAGUCUAAAAAUUAACAACAAAAAAAUUAAAGUUUUCCAACAUG
Vicugna pacos (alpaca) is the source of this 2438-nucleotide non-coding RNA. Lineage: Eukaryota; Metazoa; Chordata; Mammalia; Artiodactyla; Camelidae. The record is from RefSeq and is a predicted model, not a curated record.